UGGACCUUUGAAGUAAGUGGGAGUUCUGCCACCAAUUUAAAUAGGAGAAGGAUUUGAGCCAAUUUGAACAGAAGUUUUCACUUAUCUUAGUGCCUAAUCUUCUUUUUAAAGGGAUGUGGGAGUAUCAGCACCUCCUACGUAACGCUCGGCAGCAUGCAGAAGUAGACUAGUCUGGUCACUUAUGGAGGCCCAUUUAAAACCAGUAGGAUUACUCAGGACAAGUAGAAGCUGAAGUGUGUCCAUCCCAGAACAACUGUGAAUUAAGUCUCUACAAUCAAUGACAAUUCUGGCAUUGGAAACUGGGGCAGAAGCUACUUUUUCCAAGUGAUCGAGUUACCACAGUGUAAAGAUUUUCCAAGGCAGUUGCAACAGCCUGAGAGCAUCCCCACAGGAAGUUACGGCUCAGUUGGCACAUGGUAAACCAUGAAGCUGUGGGAUCUGUCAAUAGAAACCCCACUUAUGAGGCAGAAGCAGCUACAAAUUGUACGGUGUGUUAUGGUAAACAAAUGACCUUGAGAGCCAUGGAAAAGUCAGAGCCAUACCUACAGGCCUGCAUGCCACAGUGGGGGCAUCCACGGGGGUAAGAGAUUUCUCUCCAUCCCAUUGCACUUGUGCCUGGUGUCCUUGGAUGAAGAAUGCCUGAAAUCUCAAAUUACCUGGAGAUGUUUUCUAGUAAUACUGAGCUAGAAUAAAAAUAAAUAAAAAG
Molecule: long non-coding RNA, 706 nt
Filed under: Anas platyrhynchos platyrhynchos (common mallard)
Lineage: Eukaryota; Metazoa; Chordata; Aves; Anseriformes; Anatidae
Description: lncRNA (ENSAPLG00000026817.1)
Source: RNAcentral